This 2051-nucleotide long non-coding RNA is filed under the name Zostera marina. RNAcentral's name for it is "long non-coding RNA (ZMAR_LNC005947)". The record is from RNAcentral. Lineage: Eukaryota; Viridiplantae; Streptophyta; Magnoliopsida; Alismatales; Zosteraceae.
UCUUCAGAUGGGGUGAAAUGGUCUGAGAAACCAAGUUUCGUAUUUUAGGGUCAUUUUAAUUUGACUGGAUAGUAUUUUUUCGUAUAUUUGCAAUUUAAAUUGUAGAAUUUAAAAAUAAACAAAGAAUAUGGAUUCUAUUUAUAAAAUAAAAAAUAUUUGUUGAAUUUGGUGGAUUCCAAGGCUAAUUGACUAUAUGAGCAAAUGACUUGUAAUCCUUCCACCGUUGAGAGUGAGAGGUAAUCGCUGCUCUGUGAAACCAGCCUCACGCAUUACCCUCAAGUUCAGGGAGAAUAUGAUUCAAGCGUUAGCCUGAAACAUAACAUCCACUGCCCAACUUGGAAACGGGCAAAUCAAAGCUAGCUCAUAAUGUAAACCUUGAAUUCAAUACCAAAUUAUUCAAAUACCUUAAUGCUCCACUUGGUGACAAGCCCACGUUACCGAGCUCAGCGAUUGAUUUGUAGAUUUCUUGUAUAUAAACAACAAAGCUUUUUUAAUUUCUUCGAUGUGGGAUUAUUUCUUAUAGUUUAUUUUGUUAUAUAAGUUAAAAAUAAAAAUCUUCAGAUGGGGUGAAAUGGUCUGAGAAACCAAGUUUCAUAUUUUAGGGUCAUUUUAAUUUGACUGGAUAGUAUUUUUUCGUAUAUUUGCAAUUUAAAUUGUAGAAUUUAAAAAUAAACAUAGAAUAUGGAUUCUAUUUAUAAAAUAAAAAAUAUUUGUUGAAUUUGGUGGAUUCCAAGGCUAAUUGACUAUAUGAGCAAAUGACUUGUAAUCCUUCCACCGUUGAGAGUGAGAGGUAAUCGCUGCUCUGUGAAACCAGCCUCACGCAUUACCCUCAAGUUUAGGGAGAAUAUGAUUCAAGCGUUGGCCUGAAACAUAGCAUCCACUGCCCAACUUGGAAACGGGCAAAUCCAAGUUAGCUCAUAAUGUAAACCUUGAAUUCAAUACCAAAUUAUUCAAAUACCUUAAUGCUCCACUUGGUGACAAGCCCACGUUACCGAGCCCAGCGAUUGAUUUGUAGAUUUCUUGUAUAUAAACAACAAAGCUUUUUUCAAUUUCUUCGAUGUGGGAUUAUUUCUUAUAGUGGUAUUUUGUUAUAUAAGUAUAAAAAAUAAAUCUUCAGAUGGGGUGAAAUGGUCUGAGAAACCAAGUUUCGUAUUUUAGGGUCAUUUUAAUUUGACUGGAUAGUAUUUUUUCGUAUAUUUGCAAUUUAAAUUGUAGAAUUGAAAAAUAAACAAAGAAUAUGGAUUCUAUUUAUAAAAUAAAAAAAUAAUUGUUGAAUUUGGUGGAUUCCAAGGCUAAUUGACAAUAUGAGCAAAUGACUUGUAAUCCUUCCACCGUUGAGAGAGAGAGGUAAUCGCUGCUCUGUGAAACCAGCCUCACGCAUUACCCUCAAGUUUAGGGAGAAUAUGAUUCAAGCGUUAGCUUGAAACAUAACAUCCACUGCCCAACUUGGAAUCGGGCAAAUUAAAGCUAGCUCAUAAUGUAAACCUUGAAUUCAAUACCAAAUUAUUCAAAUACCUUAAUACUCCACUUGGUAAGAAGCCCACGUUACCGAGCUCAGCGAUUGAUUUGUAGAUUUCUUGUAUAUAAACAACAAAGCUUUUUUCAAUUUCUUUUGAUGUGGGAUUAUUUCUUAUAGUGGUAUUUUGUUAUAUAAGUUUAAAAAAAAAAUCUUCAGAUGGGGUGAUAUGGUCAGAGAAACCAAUUUUCCUAUUUUAGGGUCAUUUUGUAUAUUUGCAAUUUAAAUUGUUGAAUUGAAAAAUAAACAAAGAAUAUAGAUUCUAUUUAUAAAAUAAAAAAUAUUUGUUGAAUUUGGUGGAUUCCAAGGCUAAUUGACUAUAUGAGCAAAUGACUUGUAAUCCUUCCACCGUUGAGAGUGAGAGGUAAUCGCUGCUCUGUGAAACCAGCCUCACGCAUUACCCUCAAGUUUAGGGAGAAUAUGAUUCAAGCGUUAGCCUGAAACAUAACAUCCACUGCUCAACUUGGAAACGGGCAAAUCAAAGCUAGCUCAUAAUGUCAACCUUGAAUUCAAUCCCAAAUUAUUCAAAUACCUU